AGAGUUUGAUCCUGGCUCAGAACGAACACUGGCGGCAGGCUUAACACAUGCAAGUCGAACGCACCGCAAGGUGAGUGGCAGACGGGUGAGUAACGCGUGGGAACGUGCCCUUCAGUUCGGGAUAACCCAGGGAAACUUGGGCUAAUACCGGAUACGUGCGAGAGCAGAAAGAUUCAUCGCUGAAGGAUCGGCCCGCGUCUGAUUAGCUAGUUGGUAGGGUAAUGGCCUACCAAGGCGACGAUCAGUAGCUGGUCUGAGAGGAUGAUCAGCCACAUUGGGACUGAGACACGGCCCAAACUCCUACGGGAGGCAGCAGUGGGGAAUAUUGGACAAUGGGCGCAAGCCUGAUCCAGCCAUGCCGCGUGAGUGAUGAAGGCCUUAGGGUUGUAAAGCUCUUUCGUCCGGGACGAUAAUGACGGUACCGGAAGAAGAAGCCCCGGCUAACUUCGUGCCAGCAGCCGCGGUAAUACGAAGGGGGCUAGCGUUGUUCGGAAUCACUGGGCGUAAAGGGCGCGUAGGCGGCCUGAUAAGUCGGGGGUGAAAGCCUGUGGCUCAACCACAGAAUUGCCUUCGAUACUGUCGGGCUUGAGACCGGAAGAGGUAAGUGGAACUGCGAGUGUAGAGGUGAAAUUCGUAGAUAUUCGCAAGAACACCAGUGGCGAAGGCGGCUUACUGGUCCGGUUCUGNNGCUGAGGCGCGAAAGCGUGGGGAGCAAACAGGAUUAGAUACCCUAGUAGUCC
Molecule: ribosomal RNA, 740 nt
Filed under: uncultured bacterium
Lineage: Bacteria
Description: bacterial SSU rRNA
Rfam family: Bacterial small subunit ribosomal RNA
Source: RNAcentral